RNAcentral lists this long non-coding RNA (881 nucleotides) under Brassica napus (rape). RNAcentral's name for it is "long non-coding RNA (BNAP_LNC019407)". The record is from RNAcentral. Lineage: Eukaryota; Viridiplantae; Streptophyta; Magnoliopsida; Brassicales; Brassicaceae.
CAUCGACUACCUCGGUACCAUGAUGAAUAUGCCUCGAUGAUCAUAUCUCCAAAGACCAUGUCAUGAUGACCCCAUCUCAACCAAUAUGCCUUGACAACCUUGAUCAGUCGACAAUCAUAUCUCAGGCAACGACGUCUUUGAUGACAUUGCCUCGACGGCCACGUAACGACGACCACGUCAUGGCGACCACGUCAUGGCGACAUCAUCUCGACUAAUUUGCCUUAAGGACUUCGAUCUCAUCUCGACAACUAUAUCUCGACGACCACGUCCUUGAAGAUCUCACAUCGAUGAUCAUAUCUUUUACAACCAUGUCACAAUGACUUCAUCGAUUUUCUCGUCUCAACCAAACUCGAUCCAACUCCCCUUUGGCGAUGACCUAACAUUGAUCUCCAACAGAUGACAUGCUUUCACUGCUUUUUCUGACGCCGAAGAACUACCACUACUCUUCGACGAUGACAAGCUCACAAUACUCUAUGAUGACGACAUUCUCCAAGUUAAUGAUCUCCUACUCAAAGACCUCAACACGAACGAUCGAAUCAGAUGACCUUAAGACAUAUGGCCUCAAAAGUGACUUUCAAAAAUGACGAUCAAAACUGACCAUCAACCAUGAUGAACUUCGUCUAUAGUCAAAGGAUGAACUCGAGAAAGUGAUCGAAGCUCUGCGCACACACUUGUUGAAUGAUCUCCACACCCAAGAAAGAUGACCUCAUAGCUCAAAUGGACGAACUCCACACCUAAUGAAACCAAACUCUGUGUUUGAUGGAUGCUAUGUGCAUUCAUGGAAGCAGUAAUACACAUUUGUAUUUUAUGGACAAUUUAAAUCUCAUCUAAUUUCAAAUCAAAAUUCUAAUAUUUUCUAUAAACAUAUCAUAACCCAGCUG